This 851-nucleotide ribosomal RNA is filed under the name uncultured Bacillota bacterium. RNAcentral's name for it is "bacterial SSU rRNA". It matches the Rfam family "Bacterial small subunit ribosomal RNA", at positions 71 to 902 of the family's 1533-position model. Lineage: Bacteria; Bacillati; Bacillota. The record is from RNAcentral.
AAAGGGGCUUCGGCCCUGAGUAGAGUGGCGAACGGGUGAGUAACACGUGGGUGACCUACCUUCGAAUGGGGGAUAACGUCCCGAAAGGGACGCUAAUACCGCAUAACAUCCUGCUUUUGAAGAGGUGGAGAUCAAAGCUGGGGAUCGCAAGACCUGGCGUUUGAAGAGGGGCCCGCGUCUGAUUAGCUAGUUGGUGAGGUAACGGCUCACCAAGGCAACGAUCAGUAUCCGGCCUGAGAGGGCGGACGGACACACUGGGACUGAGACACGGCCCAGACUCCUACGGGAGGCAGCAGUGGGGAAUUGUUCGCAAUGGGCGCAAGCCUGACGACGCAACGCCGCGUGGAGGAUGAAGGUCUUCGGAUUGUAAACUCCUGUUGCCCGGGACGAAAUGCUUCGACCUAACACGUCGAAGUUUGACGGUACCGGGUGAGGAAGCCCCGGCUAACUCUGUGCCAGCAGCCGCGGUAAUACAGAGGGGGCAAGCGUUGUUCGGAAUUACUGGGCGUAAAGGGCGCGUAGGCGGCCUUCUAAGUCGAACGUGAAAUCCCCGGGCUCAACCCGGGAACUGCGUCCGAUACUGGAAGGCUUGAAUCCGGGAGAGGGAUGCGGAAUUCCAGGUGUAGCGGUGAAAUGCGUAGAUAUCUGGAGGAACACCGGUGGCGAAGGCGGCAUCCUGGACCGGCAUUGACGCUGAGGCGCGAAAGCCAGGGGAGCAAACGGGAUUAGAUACCCCGGUAGUCCUGGCCCUAAACGAUGAAUGCUUGGUGUGGCGGGUAUCGAUCCCUGCCGUGCCGAAGCUAACGCAUUAAGCAUUCCGCCUGGGGAGUACGGUCGCAAGGCUGAAACUC